AACGAACGCUGGCGGCGUGCCUAACACAUGCAAGUCGAACGAUACCUUCGGGUCUAGUGGCGCACGGGUGCGUACCGCGUGGUAACCUGCCCUUAGGUUCGGCAUAACUCCCCGAAAGGGGUGCUAAUAUCGGAUAAUGUCUUCGGACCAAAGAUUUAUCGCCGUUGGUUGGGCCCGCGUUGGAUUAGCUAGUUGGUAGGGUAAAAGCCUACCAAGGCGACGAUCCAUAGCUGGUCGGAGAGGAGGCUCAGCCACACUGGGACUGGGACACGGCCCCGACGCGUGCGAGAGGCAGCAGAGGGGAAUAUUGGAGAAUGGGCGAAAGGCUGAUCCAGCAAGGCCGCGUGAGUGAUGAAGGCCUUAGGGUUGUAAAGCUGUUGGAACCGGGAUGAUAAUGACAGUACCGGGAGAAGAAGCACCGGCUAACUACGUG
This 433-nucleotide ribosomal RNA is filed under the name uncultured bacterium. Its description in RNAcentral is "partial 16S ribosomal RNA". It matches the Rfam family "Bacterial small subunit ribosomal RNA", at positions 29 to 507 of the family's 1533-position model. The record is from RNAcentral.